This is a long non-coding RNA of Gasterosteus aculeatus aculeatus (three-spined stickleback), 1056 nucleotides long. The record is from Ensembl. NCBI's taxonomy places the organism in Eukaryota, Metazoa, Chordata, Actinopteri, Perciformes, Gasterosteidae.
CCGAAAUAGCAAAAGCGACGAGGAGUCGUGUUGGCUGCCUGCUGGGGAGUGAGGAGAUCUGCUUUCACUCCGCUGCCCCACAUAUUUCCUGCUGGCUGGACGCCUUGUGAUUCUGCGAGUAGACACGCCUGCCGUAGUUCGACAUCAUAAGCAGGAGCAGCAGAGGAUGCCAGGCAGCUCUCCUGAGAAACAAUUAGCUGUGAACUUCAGAGGAGAACAAUGAUUAGCAUUAACCUCGUUUGGACCGCUGCGCUAAUUAGAGGCUCCGCAAAACAAGAUCUCACCAAUCUGCUGCUGGUGUUCUACCUGCACAUCUACUUAAAAGGAGGCUUCAAACUGGCGGAUCCACAGCUGAGGAAACACCAUGUUUUUUGGGGUGAUGUGCUCGUGUGACACCGUCGACCCCCCCCCUCCCGUGAACUCAAGUAGGGCUGAGAUGUCAGACGCGGCGGGUGAUCAGUGCGGUUACGUUGUCCAGCCGCUUCACGCCAGCAUAGAACUGUCAUUUGUGGGUGCGCGUCUACGUCCUCUCUGGAGAGCGGAGGAGGCGCCAAGGGAGUCGCAGUGACUCACGCUGUGGGAGAGAAGGGGAGUGAGGGACAGAGGGAAAGUGCCCACAUCAUCCCCCUCCGUCAUUACAGCCCACACCACCCACAGAAACUAAAGAGCGCAUUCACACAGAGAACACACACACACACACAUGGCAGCAUAUGAAAGAGGUAGCCUCCACAUCAGUGUGUCAGAGAGGCUUAUCCAUAAUGGGCAAGGCAGGCUGCAGCAGUGAAUCAAGCACUUAUUCAGAGAAGCCCUCCUGUAUAAUACAGUGCUCACAAUUAGAGUAGACAUUCACAGAAAAUGGUUAAAAGCUGCAAAUUAUCAUGUUUCGGUCGACACACGACUGGCGCUUUCUCGCGGUCACAGCUUGAUACAUUUUACAAUUUGGAUUUCACAUGUUGAAUAGAGAAGGCUUUUGAUCUGGGGAGUCAGAUAUUUGCCAUUGUGUGAGGCGUCGGGAGGAGACUGCUGUUGUAUUAGUGACAAACCUGUAUGAAAAAG